GCACCGGUCCGGGCACGACCUACCCGGUCGACUGGGUGUUCGUUCGCCGCGGACUGCCGGUCGAGAUCAUCGCGGAGUUCGACGUGUGGCGGAAGAUCCGCGAUUGGCAGGGAACGGUCGGCUGGGUGCACCAGAGCAUGCUGGACGGCAGACGCAUGGCGCGCAUCACCGGCGCCGACCGCGAGCUGCGGAACGAAGCGGCGGAGGAUGCAGCGGUCGUCGCGCGCCUGUCGCAGGGCGUGAUCGGCCGCCUGCUGGAAUGCGAGGCGACAUGGUGCAUGAUCGACGCCGAGGGUUAUCGCGGCUGGCUCAAGCGCGACGAAUUCUGGGGCACCUAUCCGGACGAGAAGGUGCAAUAGCCGGAAACAACGCCGGCGGGUCGGCCGGAUCGUCGCUAGUCGAAGUCGUCGGCGAGCGCCGCGCGCACCGAUUCCGGCAUGACGACCAUAUGACCGUAGGCCUGGUGCGUGAAGCCGACGAUGACCUGUGCGCCCGGCACGCGAAACUUCGUUAUCUGAGUCGGAGCAAACCGGAAACGGAUGAAUUGCACGGCAGAGGCCUUGCCGUCGGCGCUCGUGCGGUCGAUGUCGGCUUCCGACACACCCUUGAUCGUCUCCUCGCCCACGCGAAUGAAGGCCGUGUCCUCGAUACCGCCGAGGCGGGAGAGCAGCGUCUUGCGCCGGAUUGGAUCAUCGAUUUCAAAGAGAACCGUGGCGACCCAACUCGCGGCCGUCGGGAAUGAGCGGGUUGUAGGCGCUGAGCUCAUCGGCGAUCUGCGCCUCGCCACCCUUUUCGAUGUACAGCAUCUCCUGCACCUGCAGCCACAUGCUGUCGUAGUCUUCGAAAUGGAAGGUCGCGACGGGCCCGACCUCGAGCCGCCGGUUCUGCUUCCGGGCAAUCACGGCCUGCCGACGUGCGGCGCGCACCUUUGCAUACUCGGCCGGCGGCAUGAGGUCUUCCCGGGUGAUUUCUCGUUUCAUGGCAAUCGAGUGCUCCACAGUCCGGACGUGCCCGUUACAGGCCGUAGGCGCGCGCGAACAGUUCGAUCGGAUGGAGCGCGGGUCCGGCCGCCUGCUUGCCUUGGUCCAGACGCUCCAUGCCCUGGACGAUGUGCAUCCCAGCCAGCGGGCAUUCGGAUGCCAGGUAGGUCUUGCCGCUGUCGUUGGCCUGCCGCGCCACCGGCCGGCCGACCUUGAGCGCGGCCU
RNAcentral lists this unclassified non-coding RNA (1205 nucleotides) under uncultured fungus. RNAcentral's name for it is "sequence contains 18S rRNA gene, ITS1, 5.8S rRNA gene, ITS2, 28S rRNA gene". Lineage: Eukaryota; Fungi. The record is from RNAcentral.